CAGCAGUAGCCGCGGUAAUACGUAGGUGGCAAGCGUUGUCCGGAACUAUUGGGCGUAAAGGGCUCGCAGGCGGUUUCUUAAGUCUGAUGUGAAAGCCCCCGGCUCAACCGGGGAGGGUCAUUGGAAACUGGGAAACUUGAGUGCAGAAGAGGAGAGUGGGAUUCCACGUGUAGCGGUGAAAUGCGUAGAGAUGUGGAGGAACACCAGUGGCGAAGGCGACUCUCUGGUCUGUAACUGACGCUGAGGAGCGAAAGCGUGGGGAGCGAACAGGAUUAGAUACCCCCGUAGUCCCUGUCUCUUAUAC
Molecule: ribosomal RNA, 304 nt
Filed under: uncultured bacterium
Lineage: Bacteria
Description: partial 16S ribosomal RNA
Rfam family: Bacterial small subunit ribosomal RNA
Source: RNAcentral